This is a long non-coding RNA of Ahaetulla prasina, 434 nucleotides long. RefSeq lists it as uncharacterized. The transcript is spliced from 3 exons. NCBI's taxonomy places the organism in Eukaryota, Metazoa, Chordata, Lepidosauria, Squamata, Colubridae. The record is from RefSeq and is a predicted model, not a curated record.
AGGAAAUAGCAAAGAGAUAAGUCAAAAAUCAAACCAACCUGGGGAAGAACACCAUAGCAUCCUGGAAGCUGACUCAGAAAAAAAGACAUUUUGGAGCAGGAACUUCUUUCGGCUGGCUCCCAGUAAAGCACAAUCCUGGCUCCUCUGAACUUCUCUGGCAAACUCCAGGCGGGAGUGUGCAGAAAUAUGAAUGGCUGGGCUGCUGCUGCUCUGGGCAAGCUGAGCUGCAUGGCUUUUCUCACAGCCGGGGGAAGAUCUGCUCUUUGGAAAUCCGCUUCAUGGUGGAAGGCCUUCAUCAUCCUGUGGUUCUCCAUCCGAUGUUUAUGGAUGUUCUUCCUAAGAUGUAGUGCUCAGAAACAUAAAGUCUGGAGGCAAUACGACUCUUCCUGCUGCAUAAAGUAGGUUGCCAAUUUAUCUGCUUGAGAAAGUGGCUU